UACGUAGGCGGUUAAAUAAGUCAGGUGUAAAAGGCAUUGGCUCAACCAAUGUAAGCACUUGAAACUGUUUGACUUGAGUAUAGGAGAGGUAAGUGGAGUUCCUAGUGUAGCGGUGAAAUGCGUAGAUAUUAGGAGGAACACCAGUGGCGAAGGCGACUUACUGGACUAUUACUGACGCUGAGGUACGAAAGCGUGGGGAGCAAACA
This 206-nucleotide ribosomal RNA is filed under the name uncultured bacterium. RNAcentral describes it as "partial 16S ribosomal RNA". It matches the Rfam family "Bacterial small subunit ribosomal RNA", at positions 568 to 774 of the family's 1533-position model. The record is from RNAcentral.